GACGAACGCUGGCGGCGUGCUUAACACAUGCAAGUCGAACGGAAAGGCCUGCUUUCCCUUGUGGAUUGCGGGUACUCGAGUGGCGAACGGGUGAGUAACACGUGAGUGAUCUGCCCCCAACUUGGGUAUAAGCCUGGGAAACUGGGUCUAAUUCCCGAUAGGACUGCAGGGUGGUGCCUGUGGUGGAAAACGAUUUUCUAGUGGUUGGGGAUGAGCUCGCGGCCUAUCAGCUUGUUGGUGGGGUAAUGGCCUACCAAGGCGGCGACAGGUAGCCGGCCGGAGGGGGUGGACGGCCACAUUGGGACUGAGAUACGGCCCAGACUCCUACGGGAGGCAGCAGUGGGGAAUAUUGGACAAUGGGCGGAAGCCUGAUGCAGCGACGCCGCGUGGGGGAUGACGGCCUUCGGGUUGUAAACUCCUUUCGACCGCGAGGAAGCCACCUGGUUGGAAGGGUGGUGUCGGUAGUGGUAGAAGAAGCACCGGCUAACUACGUG
This 494-nucleotide ribosomal RNA is filed under the name uncultured bacterium. Its description in RNAcentral is "partial 16S ribosomal RNA". It matches the Rfam family "Bacterial small subunit ribosomal RNA", at positions 28 to 507 of the family's 1533-position model. The record is from RNAcentral.